AAUUCAAAUGAUAGGUUUAAUAGUUUGGUUUUACACGAAAUCGCGGUUGGCAGAAUAAUAUAUAAUAUAAAGCGUUAGACAUUUUUCCUAUUUUUGUUUUUUGUAUCAAUGAUUGUUUUCACUAUAUGAAACCCUCCAAGAGCAAAAGCUAUAAGUGCACCUAUACAAACUAUAAUCAAGUACAGCCUGGAGUCAUUGUCAAUUUGUUGAGAAAUUGUAAACAAAUGGAAUAAAAUAAAAUGUAUCCACAUGGUGGUGGAUGACCAAAAUUAUUGUUAUUAAUUAAUUUAUUAUGAUAAUAUCGCGGCGUCGAGAUUAGUUCGGUCGUCGCUCGGUAGCUUCCAGAGAUGUCACGACGGCUCGUUGAUUGGCGUUUUAAAUUUUUAAACACUGUAAUAUUGUAUUAAAUUAAAUUGUAUUGUUUUAGUGCAUGAUUGACAACUAAUAUACCAGGUGGUCCCGAGAAUGGCGGGAUAUUUGUGCUAAACAGUGUAAUUAAUAGGUAAUUAAUAUUUUGUUUCAUCUGUAUUUUAUAUCAUAUUAUGCUGUAAGUUACGUCGAUUAAAAUAACAUCAGUGACUACUAUUAGCGAUUACUCUUGUUCAUUCAUUUCUAUACCCUCCAACCUACACUGAAGGUUUUAUUUAAAAAUAAA
Long non-coding RNA from Melanaphis sacchari, 655 nucleotides. RefSeq lists it as uncharacterized. The transcript has 3 exons. Lineage: Eukaryota; Metazoa; Arthropoda; Insecta; Hemiptera; Aphididae. The record is from RefSeq and is a predicted model, not a curated record.